Molecule: ribosomal RNA, 429 nt
Filed under: Actinomycetes bacterium
Lineage: Bacteria; Bacillati; Actinomycetota; Actinomycetes
Description: Actinobacteria bacterium partial 16S ribosomal RNA
Rfam family: Bacterial small subunit ribosomal RNA
Source: RNAcentral
UAGGGAAUCUUCCGCAAUGGGCGAAAGCCUGACGGAGCAACGCCGCGUGAGUGAUGAAGGUCUUCGGAUCGUAAAACUCUGUUAUUAGGGAAGAACAAAUGUGUAAGUAACUAUGCACGUCUUGACGGUACCUAAUCAGAAAGCCACGGCUAACUACGUGCCAGCAGCCGCGGUAAUACGUAGGUGGCAAGCGUUAUCCGGAAUUAUUGGGCGUAAAGCGCGCGUAGGCGGUUUUUUAAGUCUGAUGUGAAAGCCCACGGCUCAACCGUGGAGGGUCAUUGGAAACUGGAAAACUUGAGUGCAGAAGAGGAAAGUGGAAUUCCAUGUGUAGCAGUGAAAUGCGCAGAGAUAUGGAGGAACACCAGUGGCGAAGGCGACGUUCUGGUCUGUAACUGACGCUGAUGUGCGAAAGCGUGGGGAUCAAACAGG